Fragaria vesca subsp. vesca is the source of this 5481-nucleotide RNA transcript. RefSeq lists it as uncharacterized. The record is from RefSeq and is a predicted model, not a curated record. Lineage: Eukaryota; Viridiplantae; Streptophyta; Magnoliopsida; Rosales; Rosaceae. The transcript has 18 exons.
AUGGAUUCUUACAGACCGCACCAGCAGCAGUACAUGAGGCCACCACCGCCACCACCACCACCACCGGCCACGUCGGAUCCCUACCACUACCAGCAGCAACAACAACCACCGCCUCCGCCAAGACCACCACUCCCUCAGCAGGGCGCGUGGUACUCGAACCCGAACCAGAACCAGUACCAGUACCACUCAUUACAGUCCCCGUCGCCUCCUCCACCGCAGCAGCAGCAGUGGGGCCCGCCACCUCACGCCGAACACCUACCUCCCCCGCCGGGCUCUUACGCUCCUCCACCGCCUUAUUACCAUCCUCAAUCUCGCCCUCACGGACCUCCUCCUCCUCCUCCUCCCCCUCCUCAGUCUUAUCAUCCUCAGCAGCUCAAUCAGGACUGGGGAGCUCAGAGUCGGCAAGUGCAUAACAAUGAACAAGAUUGGGCAGCCAAGGCUAGGGCAUGGGCAGCUAGGACGGCAAUGGAGAACCAGGAUCAGCAACCACAGUUUACUCCAGCUGGCAGACCAGAAGAACAAACUCAUUAUCAUGAGCAGUAUCCUCAAAAUCAGCUCCAGUCUCUAUCUGCAUCUAGUUAUCAACAGGUUCUGGUUUCAGGGACACCAACUCACCGCCCACCGGGAAUGCAUCCUCAGGACACGAACUUUAUCGGCUCUGAACCAUCUCCAUAUGGACAUCAUACUGUCAGAUCUGCAAUUCCAUCUGUUCAUCAGCAGGAGGUACCUUCUAGUUAUUCUUCUGUUCCAGGUCAGGAAGGACAACCUCAUAUGCAACAAGCAAUACCGUUCGGAUAUGGCAGUCAUUCUGCAGAUCCAGCAACCAAUCCUGCUGACCAGCCUUUAGAAUUUGCAUCUGGGUUUUCUUCUGAUCAUGGCGCUCACGCAUCCAGCUAUCCUUAUCAUGAUUCAGUUGGAAGUAUACGAGGUGUGGACCCUGCUACGGCAGUUCCUUCCAUGAAUUCUUGGACUGUUUCUGUUGCACCUGGUGUGGUGUAUCCUCCUACUCUUCCAGUUCUACCAUCAGGACCACAGCAUGAUCCUUCUAUGUCAAUACCCUCUCCGGUCCCUGGAAAUGCUCCACAUUCAUUUGGUAGUUUUCCUGGAUUGAGCCUCCAGCCAACAAUUCCAACCACUGGUCCUCCCUUUGCUCUCACUGCAGGAACUGCUGGUCAUCCUACUGUGGCCUUCCCUGGUGAUGCAUAUGGAGUUUCUAUGAUUUCUGAGCGCCCAAAGAAGGCUUCAGUGCCUAAUUGGCUUAGAGAAGAAAUUAAGAAAGUAAGCAUCACAAGUUCGACCAUGGACCAUCUCAAGGAGGAAACGCAGUCUGUUGAGGAUGAAGGUGUUGACAGAUCUUUUGGGAAGGGUGAUCAAGCCGAUAGCAAAAGCAUUGAUUCUUCUAGAUCAACUGAAGAAGAGGAUGAUGAGGUUACUGAUGAGCUCUUUGAUGAAAUUGCUACAAAAGUUCUUAGUGAAGAUGAUCUAACAUCUGAAGUUGGACAGGGCAGACUCCCAUCAAACCAUAAGGUGUUGCCAUCUUCCACAGUAGUUUCAGCUGGCAAGGCUUCUGCGAAGCUUGUAAUUCCCGCCAAGAGUGGGGAUUCUGAGACUGAAGAUGUCAGUGAAAAAUCUAGCUCCAGUACACCUGGCGAUAUAUUGGGUCUUGCAAAUUAUGCUACUGAUGAUGACGACGACGAUGAUGGAGGUGGUGAAAUUCCGAGUUCUGGUGACCCAAAAUCUGGGAAAGAUCAGUUUACUGUCAGAAACCCUCAUGAGUCGCAUGAUGCCACUACAAAUGGCAAUUCUCCAGUAGAGCUUGAAGAGCAUAGGAGAAGUCGAACAAGUUUGCCGAAUGAUCUGAGCAAGAGUGAUACUAGUUAUAAUAAAAACAAGAGUGGGGUAAGUAAUGUUGAACCUGAACUGCCCAUGGAAAAUGUUAAUGUCAAAAAGAUAGCAAAAGAUGACCCACAAAGUAGGGAGUCCAGGAUGAAACCAGAUAAGCAUGAUCGACAUGAUAGUAAAAGGAGUUCUUUGAAAGAAAAUAAGGAGAUAGAAAGUGGUAAGAUUAGGACAGACGAGAAAGGUGAUGAGAAUUGUAGGAGGCAUGAUGAGAGGCCUUUGAGAAAGGAAAGGACUGAUGAUCGCAAUGGUUCAAAAGAAAGGUUCAAAGACCAAAAUGUUAUGUCUGGAGAUAAAUCAAAGGAAUCUGAUUCAAGAAAAAGGUCAUCCCAUGCUGAUGUCCUGGAGGACAAAAGAGAAACAGAUAGACUCCAUAGAGAUAGUUCUAAAGCAGAUGUGAGCAGAAAAAGAGAACGAACAGAUAAUAAGGAGGAUGAUAGAUCAAGACAUAAAUAUUCUACUGACUCAAGCAGGCACAAGAGAAGGCACUCCUCUUCCAUUGACAGCAAGGACAACACCGUUAAUCAUGCCAAUCAUUCAAGUAAUGAAUCUUCUGAGGAUUCUAAAAGGAAGCUACAUUCAAGGAGACGUCACUCAUCACCUUCACCCGUCAGAUCUAGGAGAAGACAACUUUCGCGGUCUCCACAUAGCAAGCAUUCUCAGCGCAGGCAUUCUCCCUACUCUUCUCUUGAUAGCAACAGGUAUGCAUUUAAAUGCAGGGGGAAAGGGUCAAGGUCCAGAUCACCUGUGCGGCGACACGCAUUUCGAGGAGGAGUCUCGGGUUUAUGGUCAGUUUGGCUAUGUGGGUUUGCGUUGAUUGGUUUCUCCUUCUAUGCCACUCAGAGGCUACCUUCCCUCAAGGAUCAGAUCACGAGGUCAACUUCCAGUCAACGAGUUGCCGGCGUUUCAGAGCCGCCGAGAAUUAUUAUAUUCUCGGCGCCGAGGCCGUUUAGUGGUUCUGUUGGGGUUAGGCAGAGUUUGGCUCUUCGUUCAUGGCUAGCUUUGUCACCGGAGAUUAGAGUUGUGCUGUUCAGCAAAGACCCUUCUGUUGUUUCUUUCGCCGGAGGGCUUGGUUCUCGGGUUGUGGUGGAUCGCAGCAUUGAUUUCACGUUCCUCGGUACCCCAUUUUUUCAUUCGAUGAUGGCAAGAACAUGGUCUUUUUCACCAGACAUAUCUGUUCUGGUUGAUCCAGAAACAAUUGUUUUACCUGACUUCAUUUCCACCCUGAAUUAUGCUUACAAUCUUGAUGAUGAUUGGCUUCUAGUUGCUUCAUCACAAAAUACUGAAAUUUUAAUGGUCCUUUCAAGAUAACUCUGUUGAUACUGUUCUCUCUUCCAUCAGUUGCAGGAGAUAAUCCGUCAGAGUUGGCAGCGAACUCCCUGUGAACAGAAACUGCUUAUGGCAUGGAAUAGUGGAGAUCUUGCCCUAUAUUCUGGAGUCCUUCCUCCUUUUUUGUAUGGUAGGGGGGUGCACAAUAGUUGGGUCACUAAUGAGGCCUUGUCAUCGGAGCUCAGGUUUGUGUUUGAUGCCAGUUGGACAAUCUCAAGCUUAUAUUUGAUUGGUGAGGGGCAUCUGAAUAACUGGACUGUUGGAGCUUCCAAUGCUUCCAUUUUUGAAAGAAGAAACUGGGAAUAUGCCGGAAACUUUCAUCUUGGUGCAUUAUAUGGGUCAUUGUCUCAUCAUGAAACUAAUUACUCUAGCCUAGUUAAACUUUUGAAAUGUGAUGGCCAAUAUAGUUUUGUUAACAAAACCGGAAACAUUUGUUCAUCUGCAUAUCGACGUGCUGGCUUGGGUUCCCGGUGGAAGAAGAAAAGUUUGGCUUUGGUUGAGGGUGUCAAAUCACAAGGCCAUUUAUUAGAUUGCACUCCCAUGGUUCCCACAACGAGUUCAGAACCAUUUGACUAUCCAUUUUCUUUGGAGACACUUCUAGAAUUAAACGCAGACAAAAAUAAGACAAUUGUGCUUGCUGCUGCUGGAUAUAGUUACAAGGACAUGCUAAUGAGCUGGGUGUGUCGAAUGCGCCACCUACAGAUCACAAAUUUUAUCAUUUGUGCCCUCGACCAGGAGAUCUACGAAUUCUCUGUCUUGAUGGGCCUGCCUGUGUUCCGGGAUCCAGUUGCUCCGAGUGAGAUAAGCUUCAAUGAUUGCCACUUCGGAACAAAAUGUUUUCAGAAGGUGACCAAAGUGAAGUCCAGAAUGGUUCUAAAGAUACUGAAGAUGGGUUACAGUGUACUGCUUAGUGAUGUGGAUGUAUAUUGGUUUGAAAAUCCAUUGGCAUUGCUCUCGUCUUUUGGUCCUGCUGUUCUUGCAGCUCAGUCGGAUGAAUUCAACAAAACAGGACCAAUCAACUUACCUAGACGCUUGAACUCUGGCUUCUACUUUGCCCGUUCAGAUAGUGCAACAAUUGCUGCUAUGAAGAAGGUGGUGGCACAUGCAGCAAGUUCGGGUCUAUCUGAACAGCCAAGCUUCUAUGACACACUAUGUGGAGAAGGGGGCUCCUAUCGUGUGGGUAACAAUAGAUGCUUAGAACCUGAAACAAACCUGACUGUCCAUUUCUUGGAUAGAGAUCUCUUCCCAAACGGGGCAUAUCUAGGCCUUUGGCAGAGAAAAAAUGUGAGAGCAGCCUGUGUGAAACAGGGAUGUUUGGUACUCCAUAACAAUUGGAUCAGUGGGAGGCUGAAGAAGCUAGAAAGACAGGUAUUAUCUGGCCUAUGGGACUUUGAUACUAGCACAAGGAUGUGUCAGCUCCUGCUUUCCUUAUCGUUGGACUACAGUACAGUGAGUACACAGUCCAAAAGUUUUCUUGUGAGGAUAGUUCAUGCAGGUGGGCAAGAGGAACUGUUUCUGAAUGCAGGCGUCUCUGCUGAUGGACAAGUAUCCUGGGAAAUGUGUUGCCCGCCCAGAUGUUUUCAAAAAGCCUCAGGAGUCCUUUUUAAGGCCAGAGGGGAGCCUAUUGCCUGGUCACAAGUAUUAUAUAACAGUAUGAUAACAUGUACAACAGUACAGAAAGUUGAGCGUAAACAACAGAAUAAGGUGAAGGCCAAAGAACAAGAUGAAGAAGAUGAAGAGAUGAUUCUGGGUGGAUAGAUCACUGCAGAUUCGUAAGGGGAAGAAAAGAGUUCAAAAUUUUCACGCAGGAGGGGAAUUAGAGGAAAGAAGUCGUUUGUACCUCCCCCUUCCAAAGGUUAGAUCAGGUAAAGGGUUCGGAUGGGAGCCUAAUCUCACGUCUGUACAAGAAGAAGUCUCUCCAUGACUUUCUGAUAUGGCUUUGAUAGUCUGAAACAUUUACUGCGACCGCAACAGUCGCCGCUAUCGAAUCCCUCGUUUCGGCAAAGAGAGACACAUCUGUCCCUAUCUCUAGUAUUCCGUGGAACUUUUUGUUACGAGUUUCGCGUGUUGGUGUAUAUUUUGGCAGCCAAAUUGUGUUUGCAUUUGGCAUUGUCCCUACAUUAAAAACACACAAAAAUAUCAUGUCUAUCUAGCUAGUAAUAGAGAUUAAUACAAUAAGCAAACAUCAGAAGAAUGUAGAUAAUCAUUAUACCAUUAGAAAUAGGAGACCGACGAAGAAAAUUGUAAACUUAU